This 1039-nucleotide long non-coding RNA is filed under the name Vigna radiata. RNAcentral's name for it is "long non-coding RNA (VRAD_LNC009564)". Lineage: Eukaryota; Viridiplantae; Streptophyta; Magnoliopsida; Fabales; Fabaceae. The record is from RNAcentral.
GUAGUUAAAAAAUAUUUAGAGUUAAUAAAAAGUAAUAAAAUUAAAAAAAAGAGGACAAAGAUAAUGUUCGUAUAAAUUUUCAAAAAAAAGAGGGUGAUUUUGGUUUGUUUUCUUUUCUUUUAUUUCUAUUUUAUCUUAUUUCUUUUUGUUUUAUCUUAUUUCAUUUUAUUUUAAUUUAUUGUAUUCCAUUUUGUUUUAUGUUAUUUCAUUUUUGUAUUUAUUUUUAUUUUUAUUUUUUUUUCUUUCGGUUUACUUUAAUGUAUUUUGCUUUCAUAUUUUAUUUAUUUUGUAGUUUCCUUUUAAUUCGUUUUUAUAUUUUAAGUUCAAAAAAGGGAUAUUUUUAUAUAAUUAUUUCCCUGACAAAAAAUGAAAAAAUGAAAAAUGAAAAGGAAAAAGUAAAAUCACAAAGGUCAACUUUGCUAUCCUUUUCGUUUUUGCACGUUGUCUCCUUUUGGGUGCAAAUAUUUUGCUCAGCCAUGGACGCAAUAGAGACAGACCACACUAUCUUUGGCUUACUACCAAAAGCGGAAAGAUCAUCUCUGUCCAUGAGAACAUGAGAGCAGAGAAGGUGGCUGGGUUGCAGGAAGCAACCAUUGGACAGACACGCCUUUGACUUUGAAGAAAUCUCAUAGAAGAAAAAGGAAGAAAAAAGAGAAUGGCUAAAGAUUUUCCCACCAUACCAAACCGAUCCUAACAUUCUAACCUCAACCACAUUUCCCUUUCAAUUUCAAUUCCUCACCUCCAAUAGCAUCCAGAUUUCAUCCACCAAAAACCCCAAAGCCAUUACAAUCUAGAUUCUUUACAAUCCAGCUUGGAAAGUCAUGAAAAAACAAGAAGUUCAUUGACCAUGCCCGAGAGAGCCUUGGACCAUUUGGAUUCACUUCCAGCACCUCACCAAACAUCGAAGACUCACCAUCAACACCGAACCAUCACAUAGAGCUCUUGACUCCUGGACCUUCAGCACUAGCUUCGUAUAUCCAGUCAUAGCAACCAUAGAAGCGUAGAAGCUCCAAGUGGUAAACGAGUAAACUCAUUUCAC